UGACUGGAGGUGUGUGUGCAUUCCAGAGGAUUCUCUAGGAUUUGGGUGAUAUGGAAAGGACUAAUGGUAGAUGGCUCUGUGUGUUUCUGGACUUUGUCAGACACUGUUAUUAAUGGAUUGAAUCCAUUCACAUUUUUUCCAGCUUCAUCACUAUCAAAUGUCUAGUGCCUGUAAAGGUUAAAUAGAUAAGCCUGAGUCCUCAGUGUUGCUUCCCAUCAGUUGAUGGCUUUUCUCACCAGAAGUUACUCAGAGUUUGCAGCUAGUUAGCAGUUUUGCUUGAGAGAGCACGUGGUUCCAUCCACACCACGCUAGAGUCAGCUGCAGAAACUGAUUCAGUAUUCGAAAGGUUAGGUUGGGCUUUUAUCUACUUGUCAGGCUAAAUUAUGCAGAAUUAAGUUUAAAGUAUUUUAACACCUGACUUCUUCUUCUUCGGGAAAAUACCAAAUGGCGGGCAACGCCGGUGCAGCAGGAGGGCCCCGGGGGCCCAGGACUAGGAGGCCGCGGCUUCUGCGGAGGAUUCAGCAGCGGUCUUAGAGGGGCCGCUGUCGUGGUCGGGGCCGAGGUCCCAGGGCUCGUGGAGGUAAAGCUGAAGACAAGGAGUGGAUCCCCAUCACCAAGCUGGCCCGCCUGGUUAAGGACAUGAAGAUCAAGUCCCUGGAGGAGAUCUGCCUGUUCUCCCUUCCCACUAAGGAAUCCGAGAUCAUUGACUUUUUCCUGGGCGCAUCCCUAAAGGAUGAGGUUCUAAAGAUCAUGCCAGUGCAGAAGCAGACUCAGGUUCAAGGCUUUUGUCACUAUUGGGGACUACAAUGGUCAUGGUGCACUGCCAUCCGAGGGGCCAUCAUCCUGGCCAAGCUGUCCAUUGUCCCUGUGCGGAGAGGCUACUGGGGGAACAAGAUUGGCAAGCCCCACACUGUCCCGUGCAAAGUGACAGGCCGCUGUAGCUCUGUGUUGGUACGUCUCAUCCCUGCCCCCAGGGGCACUGGCAUCGUCUCUGCUCCUGUGCCCAAGAAGUUACUGAUGAUGGCCAGUGUUGAUGACUGCUACACGUCAGCCAGGGGCUGCACUGCCACCCAGGGCAACUUUGCCAAGGCCACCUUUGAUGCCAUCUCCAAGACCUACAGCUACCUGACCCCCGACCUCUGGAAAGAGACUGUGUUCACCAAAUCUCCUUAUCAGGAAUUCACUGACCAUCUUGUGAAAACCCACACCAGAGUGUCUGUUCAGAGAACCCAGGCUCCAGCUGUGGCCACCACAUAAGGGUUUUUAUACAAGAAAAAUAAAGUGA
This is an RNA transcript of Peromyscus leucopus (white-footed mouse), 1285 nucleotides long. It is a transcript of the gene named 40S ribosomal protein S2-like, with no coding region annotated. NCBI's taxonomy places the organism in Eukaryota, Metazoa, Chordata, Mammalia, Rodentia, Cricetidae. The record is from RefSeq and is a predicted model, not a curated record. The transcript has a single exon.